GGAGGGCCGAGCAGGCUCGGGGAACCCGGAGGGGCUCCCCGCCCUCGGCCGCGCGUGUCCCGGAGAUGUCCGCGCGCCGCGCCGCGUGGGAAGGGCCGCGCCCGCGGUCGCCGCGCCGGGGAGAUGGGGCGGAACCCCGCGCGGGGAGCCGCGAAGGGGACUAGUCGGCGCUCGGCCUGGAGCUCGUUAUUUGACCCCUCGGGUUAUUUUGAGUGACUCAGAACUCGGUUACCGCAUCGCGCUUGCUUUCUCCGCGCCUGGUUCCAAACCAGAAACAGCUGAGCGGGCUGAUUUACAGUUCCGUUGACUCCUUUCCUGCCCGAAGCUUGCUGGGCUGCAGGACUUUGUUCCUGCUGUUAGGGGAGAUUUAUAUUCAAAGAGAUUCAAAUUCAAACGUAUUAUUUUCCAAUCCUCAUUGAAAAGACCUUUCCCAGGGGCUCUUAUUAACUGUCCCCACCCCCACCGUGGGGAUUUUCUCUCUGGAUUUCAGAAUCUUCUAUCCCGAGAUAAAUACGGCCUCUUCAUUGAUUAAUCCAACUACCAUCUGGAUGACUUUAAUUACAAGAAAUUUAAGGUCACCCUGCAGACUUUGUGUUGGAGGUUUUUGCAUGAGUCUUGGAACUUCGGCAGGACUCUCCACCCAAACAUUUCCUAUCUGACCUCCAACCUGUUUGGUGGAGGGUAAUUUAAUGAUUAUUUGAGGUUCUUCUGUUGUAUAUCAUGGCUGUGUUUCUUCUAAUAACUCAUGAGUAGUGAAACUUAGGGAUAAUAGAAAUUAUCGUUUGGUCCUUAAGGCAUAAAGUAAAAGUUAAAGUUUAUAUUUGUUGACCACCACCCAUAAAAAAUCAGUACUAGCUUACCACCUAUUGCGUGCUUAGCACAGCAAUCUAUCCCUCAGGUAAGCCUAACAUAAAGGUUUAAGCAAAUCAAACAGGCGUAGUAGAACACCUAAAGAAUUCGAUACACUCUCUCUGAUCACCAUUUUAAAAGCAGUUUAAACCUCGGCAAUCCCUUGUAUUGGAUCUGCUAUUCCUUCUGAGAUUAGUAAUUUUGUUCUAGGACAUUCUGUUUUCCUCCUGGCGCCUACAUCCUUUUGUUCCUAUUCAUUCCUUUCGGCACCUGCGAUGCUUGGAGUCUGGUCCCGGGGUGGGGAAGCGAGCAAGACUUGACCAUAUCAGUCAUCUAUGACUCCUCUCUCUUGUCUGCCACACCCUCCAGCAAUGGAGUCAGAAGAGCUGUGUUGAAGCUUGCUUCUUUGGAAGCAACAGCCUCACUCAGAGGUGUCACUGAAAGGAAGUGAUGAGUCACAUGGCUCCCAACACACUCUAGAGAUCUCUUUGCUGGCUUGAUGAAGUAAGCGGCCAUGCUGAGGAGUCCCACAUGGCAGGGAACUGCAGGCAGCUUCUAGGAACUGCAAGUGGCCUCUAGCCUCCAGCCUACAAGGGCCUUCAGUCCUACAGAUGCAAGGACAUGAAUUCCGCCAACAAACUGAGUGAGCCUGAAAGUGGAUCCUUCCACAGUGAAGCCUGCAGAUGGGAACACAGCCCAG
This 1549-nucleotide long non-coding RNA is filed under the name Equus caballus (horse). RNAcentral's name for it is "lncRNA (ENSECAG00000057131.1)". Lineage: Eukaryota; Metazoa; Chordata; Mammalia; Perissodactyla; Equidae. The record is from RNAcentral.